This is a long non-coding RNA of Phyllostomus hastatus (greater spear-nosed bat), 1323 nucleotides long. RefSeq lists it as uncharacterized. The record is from RefSeq and is a predicted model, not a curated record. The transcript is spliced from 3 exons. NCBI's taxonomy places the organism in Eukaryota, Metazoa, Chordata, Mammalia, Chiroptera, Phyllostomidae.
CUUUGACCCAGAUGUGAUUGAGGACUCGGAUUGUAACCGCCUGGUACCUUAUCAGCGCUUCCCUCCUGGUGAAAUGCCUGUGUAGUAAGGCGGUUACCACCAUUAAACGACACGUUUCGGAGAGAGAGAAUCCUUGCCCUGGGUAGUGGCCUUUGGUGGUGGUCAUCUUACUCUGGAGUACAGUGGCUCAGAUACCAUCUUGAAUUGUUUACAGUCCUAAGGCACAAAGGUGGAACUGCUCAUAGUAUUCUGGAGUCAAGAGCGGAAAGGAGGCAGAGAGAGAAACAUCUAUGUAUAAGAGAAACAUCGACUGGCUGCCUGCCACACUAGCCUGGACUGGGAUCCUAUGCAACCAGACCUGGAAUUGGACUUGCAAUCUAGCACAUGUCUCCACCAGAACUAAAAUGAAACUCCUCAGUUAUUGGAUGAUGCUCCCGCCAACUGAGCCACACUAGCCAGGGCUUUUUUCAGCAUGCAUUCUGCCCUGGGCAUGCAUGUGGUUUUCUUAAGUUUCUUAAGUUUCUUAAUUUGCACAGGCACUUAUUUUUGUUUUUUAAAUUAUUUCACAAUUACAGUUUAUAGUCAAUGUUAUUUUGUAUCAGUUUCAGACAUACAGAAUAGUGGUUAGACUAUGUACUUUAGAGAGUGGUCUGCUCAAUAUUUUAAAUACCCACCUUGACCCAAUACAAAGUUAUUAUGAUAUUAUUAACUAUAUUGCCCACACUGUAAUUUAUAUCCUCAUAACUAUUCUGUAACUACUAAUUUGUAUUGCUUAAUCCCCUCACCUUUUUAACCCAGUCCAUGAACCACACCCCUCUGUCAACCAUCAGUCUGUUCUCUGUAUCUAUGAGUCUGUUUCUAUUUUGUUUUUUUUAUUUUGUUCCUUUGAUUUCACAUUUAACUGAAAUCAUAUAUCUGUCCUUUUCUGUCUGACUUAUUUUACAUAGCAUAAUGUAAAAUAACAGCAUAAUUCCAUCUAGGCACAUCCAUGCUGCCACAAAAGUUAAGACUUCAUUUUUUAUGCAUAGUAAUCCAUUGUGUUAUAUGUAUAUAUAGCUUUUUUAUUCAGGGGAACUUCUAUGUCUCCUAUUUCUUGGUUAUUAUAAAUAUUGCUGCAAUAAAAAUGGGGGUGCACAUAUUCUUUUGAAUUAGUGGUUUGGGAUUCUUUGGAUAUAUUCCUGAAAGUAGAAUUACUGGUUCAUAAGACAAUUCCAUUUUAAAUUAUUUGAGGAAACUCUACAGUGUUUUCCAUAGUGGCUCCCAACAACAGAGCAUGAGGGUUCCCUUUUCUACACAUCUUUGCCAACAUUUGUUUGUUGAUUU